AUCAUCUUUCGCGACUGACGGAAUCAAGGUGGUUACCACCGGGGAGCGGGAGAAUAUAUAAGUUCUUGUCGACCGUCUGGGCAACAGGU
This 89-nucleotide non-coding RNA is filed under the name Deltaproteobacteria bacterium. RNAcentral describes it as "ZTP sequence". It matches the Rfam family "ZMP/ZTP riboswitch aptamer (pfl RNA motif)". Rfam says of the family: Previously known as pfl RNA. ZMP is also known as AICAR. Lineage: Bacteria; Pseudomonadati; Myxococcota; Myxococcia. The record is from RNAcentral.